AGAGCGAACGCUGGCGGCAGGCCUAACACAUGCAAGUCGAGCGCCCCGCAAGGGGAGCGGCAGACGGGAGAGUAACACGUGGGAACGUACCCUUCAGUUCGGAACAACCCAGGGAAACUUGGGCUAAUACCGGAUACGUCCGUAAGGAGAAAGAUUUAUCGCUGAAGGAUCGGCCCGCGUCUGAUUAGCUAGUUGGUGGGGUAAUGGCCCACCAAGGCGACGAUCAGUAGCUGGUCUGAGAGGAUGAUCAGCCUCAUUGGGACUGAGACACGGCCCAAACUCCUACGGGAGGCAGCAGUGGGGAAUAUUGGACAAUGGGCGCAAGCCUGAUCCAGCCAUGCCGCGUGGAUGAUGAAGGCCUUAGGGUUGUAAAGUCCUUUCGGCGGGGAAGAUAAUGACGGUACCGCAGAAGAAGCCCCGGCAACUUCGUGCCAGCAGCCGC
Molecule: ribosomal RNA, 442 nt
Filed under: uncultured bacterium
Lineage: Bacteria
Description: SSU rRNA
Rfam family: Bacterial small subunit ribosomal RNA
Source: RNAcentral